AUGAACGCUAGCGAUAGGCUUAACACCUGCAAGUCGAGGGGCAGCAUGGUCUUAGCUUGCUAAGACUGAUGGCGACCGGCGCACGGGUGCGUAACGCGUAUGCAACUUGCCUCACAGAGGGGGAUAACCCGUCGAAAGACGGACUAAUACCGCGUACACUUGGGAUAGGGCAUCCUGACCCAAGGAAAUGAAAUUCGCUGUGAGAUAGGCAUGCGUCCCAUUAGCUAGUUGGUGAGGUAACGGCUCACCAAGGCGACGAUGGGUAGGGGAACUGAGAGGUUGAACCCCCACACUGGUACUGGGACACGGACCAGACUCCUACGGGAGGCAGCAGUGAGGAAUAGUGGUCAAUGGGCGAGAGCCUGAACCAGCCAAGUCGCGUGAAGGAUGACUGUCUUAUGGAUGGUAAACUUCUUUUAUACGGGAAUAACAAGAGCCACGUGUGGCUCCCUGCAUGUACCGUAUGAAUAAGCAUCGGCUAACUCCGUG
This 489-nucleotide ribosomal RNA is filed under the name uncultured bacterium. RNAcentral describes it as "partial 16S ribosomal RNA". It matches the Rfam family "Bacterial small subunit ribosomal RNA", at positions 29 to 507 of the family's 1533-position model. The record is from RNAcentral.